Molecule: long non-coding RNA, 394 nt
Organism: Vigna radiata var. radiata (mung bean)
Lineage: Eukaryota; Viridiplantae; Streptophyta; Magnoliopsida; Fabales; Fabaceae
Exons: 3
Source: RefSeq, a predicted model, not a curated record
GCAACAUUCCAUUUUACUGUUAUUUGAUUUUCAAUUUCUAAACUUGUAAUUAUCAUUUGCUUUGACACUCUCCUCGGAAUGAAAUAGGUUAUGCAAACAGUUUUGUGGCCUUCCUUGUUGCUGUUGUUAAUCCCUGAAAGAAGCACUUGAACAAUGGGCACAAGAAAUCCUCCACUCGGCACUGAACUCUGUUUUCGAGGAGCUACUUAGAAAAUUUAGGUUAUGGAAACAGUUUGAGGCCUUCCUUGUUGCUGUUGUUAAUCCCAGAAAGAAGCACUUGAACAAACGGCACAAGAAAUCCUCCACUCCUGUUUUUGAGGAGCAACUUAGAAAAUUUAGAUAUGGACUGUGAGCUCAUUUUGGAGACUUGGAAUGUCUUUUUGUCCAAGUGCUU